Molecule: long non-coding RNA, 408 nt
Filed under: Mytilus galloprovincialis (Mediterranean mussel)
Lineage: Eukaryota; Metazoa; Mollusca; Bivalvia; Mytilida; Mytilidae
Source: RNAcentral
CCAAAAAUUAAAUGUACAAUAUAAUAUAUAUUCAAUACUGAUCAAACAAUUUAAAACGCGUGAUGCCUUCGGCAUAUAAUUUAAAUGCAUCGUAAGCUGUACACGACGUCUUUUAGACAUCGUAUGGCCAUCGCGCCAUCAUCGUAAUCCAUCGUGUAGCCUUCGUGAUCCAUCUUGUAGGCUUCGGCUGAGAUAUGAAGCUCAAAUACCGUCUUCGGUUAACCUUCGUAUGUCCAUCUUUUGCUAUCGUAUAUACUUUCGGCACCCUCGUAUAUACUUCGUUAUUCAUCGUACUUGCUUCGUUCACUUUUUUGUAUUUUAACGAGAUCGGGACCAACUUCGUACGAACUUACAAUUUUCGCAUUCGGGUGUCCAUCGUAUAUAAAAAUCGGGACAGUGUGACGCGGG